GUAAGUUCCGACCUGCACGAAUGGCGUAACGACUUCUCAACUGUCUCAACCAUAGACUCGGCGAAAUUGCACUACGAGUAAAGAUGCUCGUUACGCGCGGCAGGACGAAAAGACCCCGGGACCUUCACUACAACUUGGUAUUGGAGUUCGUUACGGUUUGUGUAGGAUAGGUGGGAGACUGUGAAACUCACACGCCAGUGUGGGUGGAGUCGUUGUUGAAAUACCACUCUGAUCGUAUUGGGCUUCUAACUUCGAACCGUAUAUCCGGUUCAGGGACAGUGCCUGGUGGGUAGUUUAACUGGGGCGGUUGCCUCCAAAAAAGUAACGGAGGCGCCCAAAGGUUCCCUCAACCUGGACGGCAAUCAGGUGUUGAGUGCAAGUGCACAAGGGAGCUUGACUGCGAGACGUACAUGUCGAGCAGGGACGAAAGUCGGGACUAGUGAUCCGGCACCCCCGAGUGGAAGGGGUGUCGCUCAACGGAUAAAAGGUACCCCGGGGAUAACAGGCUGAUCUUCCCCAAGAGUCCAUAUCGACGGGAUGGUUUGGCACCUCGAUGUCGGCUCGUCGCAUCCUGGGGCUGGAGCAGGUCCCAAGGGUUGGGCUGUUCGCCCAUUAAAGCGGCACGCGAGCUGGGUUUAGAACGUCGUGAGACAGUUCGGUCUCUAUCCGCCGCGCGCGUCAGAAACUUGAGGAAACCUGUCCCUAGUACGAGAGGACCGGGACGGACGAACCUCUGGUCUACCAGUUGUCACACCAGUGGCACGGCUGGAUAGCUACGUUCGGACAGGAUAACCGCUGAAAGCAUCUAAGCGGGAAACCUCUUCCAAGACCAGGUUUCUCACCCUUUGAGAGGGAUAAGGCCCCCCGCAGACCACGGGAUCGAUAGACCAGACCUAGAAGGCCAGCAAUGGUUGCAGGGAACUGGCACUAACCGGCCGAAAAC
This 943-nucleotide ribosomal RNA is filed under the name Gloeochaete wittrockiana. Its description in RNAcentral is "partial Bacterial large subunit ribosomal RNA". It matches the Rfam family "Bacterial large subunit ribosomal RNA", at positions 1976 to 2925 of the family's 2925-position model. The record is from RNAcentral. Lineage: Eukaryota; Glaucocystophyceae; Gloeochaetales; Gloeochaetaceae.